RNAcentral lists this ribosomal RNA (488 nucleotides) under Bolitoglossa nympha. Its description in RNAcentral is "partial 12S ribosomal RNA". It matches the Rfam family "Bacterial small subunit ribosomal RNA", at positions 769 to 1506 of the family's 1533-position model. The record is from RNAcentral. Lineage: Eukaryota; Metazoa; Chordata; Amphibia; Caudata; Plethodontidae.
AAACUGGGAUUAGAUACCCCACUAUGCUAGGCCAUAAACUUAGGACUUUCCCCGCCAGAGUAUUACGAGCCACAGCUUAAAACUCAAAGGACUUGGCGGUGCCUUAUAUCCACCUAGAGGAGCCUGUUCUAUAAUUGAUAGUCCCCAAUAAACCUCACCAUCCCUUGCAAUUUCAGCCUAUAUAUCACCGUCUAUUGCCAACCUUAUCAGGGGAUAAUAGUAGGCUAAAUAAUUUAAAAUUAAAAAGUCAGGUCAAGGUGUAGCAAAUGAGAUGGAAGAAAUGGGCUACAUUUUCUACAAAGAAAACACGAAGAUAUUUCAUGAAAUAAAUAAUGAAGGAGGAUUUAGUAGUAAAAAGAAAAUAGAGUGUUCUUUUUAAAUUGGCAAUAAGGCAAGCACACACCGCCCGUCACCCUCUUAAAUGCUCAAAAAUAAAAUAUAAAUUGUUUUCCUAAAAUAGAGGAAAGUCGUAACAUGGUAAGCGCACA